RNAcentral lists this long non-coding RNA (547 nucleotides) under Zea mays. RNAcentral describes it as "long non-coding RNA (ZMAY_LNC000100)". The record is from RNAcentral. Lineage: Eukaryota; Viridiplantae; Streptophyta; Magnoliopsida; Poales; Poaceae.
GACAUGCCUCUCCCCAGGCAUAUUAAUCGAUCUUGGAUGGAAGUUUCCCACCCAGGGCUCCUGGUCUCACUCUCACUGCUGGAAUGAGUCCCUUUUGCUUUCUGCUGGCAGCUGUUGUGUUCCUGCUGCUAUUACACAGUAAAGUCCGGCAUGCAGUAGGUAAGAUAGUGGCAUUUUUUCGCGUCACCUAAGCUACUGUCAUUGUUAAAUGCGUUCAAAGUGAUUUAGCAAUGAUACUGCAGGAGUUCAGGUACCACGGCAAAUUGUCUAGCAUCCGCAUCCACUUGAGAAGUCUGCUUGUUCUUGUUCUUAGGGAAAACAAGUCAACUCAACACAAGUUAAUUUUGAUCUUGAUGCCUCCAAUAUCCACUUCAUGCGGCCUUGAAUGAGUGCUUAUGGUCAUGUGUUUUUCUAAUCCCCCAGGGAAAAUGCAUUUUGAAUGCGUGGACUGGUCCUGACGGUUGAUGGUUAUGUGAAGUUUUGCAUUUGGAGGGUGCUGGGAGGCUGCUUGAUGAAAUGCGUGAGAGAAGAGAACUUGCUAUGUCGG